AAGUACUAACGAGCUGCGAAAUGGCCAGAAGGCAGAGGGAGGGGCGGAUGAGGGCUGGAUAACGAGCAGUCGGCUAGAAUGUGUAUUGUGACCGCGGACCGCUAUUUUUUUCCUGGAGCCCUGUUUGCCAUUUGAUGGGUUUGUGUCGAAUUCCCAACCAGCAGAGGUCACCGCAGAUGCUCCCGAACCUACUUUCAGACGCACCUUCGCAGCGAGACGACAGAAAUAUAGGAAGAUAAACAUUUUUAAAAAGCCCUAAUUGGAUCAAACAUGGCUGACAACAGGAGAAAGGGGGAAAGGAGCCCAGCAAGAACACUGUUCCUAAUGUGAAAUAAUCUGCCGCCUUUAAUAAAGAAGAUAUCUCUGA
Long non-coding RNA from Ornithorhynchus anatinus (platypus), 367 nucleotides. RefSeq lists it as uncharacterized. The record is from RefSeq and is a predicted model, not a curated record. The transcript has 2 exons. Lineage: Eukaryota; Metazoa; Chordata; Mammalia; Monotremata; Ornithorhynchidae.